Long non-coding RNA from Manis pentadactyla (Chinese pangolin), 755 nucleotides. RefSeq lists it as uncharacterized. Lineage: Eukaryota; Metazoa; Chordata; Mammalia; Pholidota; Manidae. The transcript is spliced from 5 exons. The record is from RefSeq and is a predicted model, not a curated record.
GGCGGCAGCUGGCAGGGCAGGCUCUGCAGGCGGCUGUUUGCCCUGCUGAUGGGGUGCAGGUUCCACUGCUGGGGCAGGUCCGGGGUUGACAGUCACCAGAGGCCGUAGUGGUGGGACUGCAGCUGUUGCUAAGAGCCACUGACGCACCGAGGAGAGAAAACGACAGGCUUGGGUCUGCUAAUCAUCCAGUUGGAGCACGUGGGAGUCAGAGGGCCUCCCGCAAGCCUCGGAGGAGAAGCUCCCUUCCUGCAGUUGGGGGCAGAGAGGGUUUGGCGGUGAGGCCCAGGACUUGCUGGAAGCAGGCAGCACGUUGGAGAAGGUGUUUCUGACUGGGGUGACCACCCUGAGUGCCCCGCCUCUAUCCUGGUGAAACUGGAAUCCUCACACAUCCCAUGGAGGUGACUAUCCUUGCUGACCAGCGCCACAGAGAUGACCUUUGGCCUGUUGGGGAAUUGGGGGCCCGAGUUCUGCAUCCUGCCACAUGUUUGUAUAUGCCAAUGGGGUCCUCUGAGGGUGUGCUUCUGCCUGAGGGCAGCGCUGGACCUCUGGCCUCUGGUUGAGACCUCUGGGGCUCACACCUUCCUGUUCAUCUGCUCCAGUGUCUUCUUGCUGUUUCAUAAAUCUGAUGCUCCUCAGCAACCUCCUCUCUCAGGAACCCUGGGGACCCAGCACGUCAGUCAUUAAUCAUCGGGACCAGGGAGGUGCCACCACUUCUCCCAGCAGGACAGGCCAGUCCUGCAGUGGCCAUGCUGGGC